This 525-nucleotide ribosomal RNA is filed under the name uncultured Sulfobacillus sp. RNAcentral describes it as "partial 16S ribosomal RNA". It matches the Rfam family "Bacterial small subunit ribosomal RNA", at positions 370 to 894 of the family's 1533-position model. The record is from RNAcentral. Lineage: Bacteria; Bacillati; Bacillota; Clostridia; Eubacteriales; Clostridiales Family XVII. Incertae Sedis.
AAUGGUUGUAACCNGNUGAUNNNUUCCGCGUUAGGGNAAANAGCCCUGCGGAGUGGAAAGCUUUGUNUUGGGGAUNAANNUNGUNUCAGGNAACACCAUUUNGUCGNCCGUACCGACGGAGGAAGUCCCUGCAAACUACGUGCCAGCAGCCGCGGUAAGACGUAGGGGGCAAGCGUUGUCCGGAAUUACUGGGCGUAAAGGGCUUGUAGGCGGUACGAUACGUAGCGGUUUUAAGCCUCCGGCUCACCCGGAGGAGGGCGGCUAAACGGUCGCACUGGAGGGCAGGAGAGGUGCAUGGAAUUCCUAGUGGAGCGGUGAAAUGCGUAGAGAUUAGGAAGAACACCAGUGGCGAAGGCGAUGCACUGGCCUGACCCUGACGCUGAGGCGCGANAGCGUGGGGAGCGAACGGGAUUAGAUACCCCGGUAGUCCACGCCGUAAACGAUGGGUACUAGGUGUCGCGGGGGUCCACCCGCGGUGCCGGAGCUAACGCACAAGUACCCCGCCUGGGAUNACGGCCGCAAAGU